UAUCGGGUCCUGUGCAACAGUGACCUGUGAACCCCGUCAGAUCCGGAAGGAAGCAGCGGUAAGCAGACUUCUCUGUGUGCCAUAGGGGUGCCUGAUAAUG
Non-coding RNA from Nitrospinae bacterium RIFCSPLOWO2_02_39_17, 100 nucleotides. The record is from Rfam. NCBI's taxonomy places the organism in Bacteria, Pseudomonadati, Nitrospinota.